This 99-nucleotide small nuclear RNA is filed under the name Rhinolophus ferrumequinum (greater horseshoe bat). The record is from RNAcentral. Lineage: Eukaryota; Metazoa; Chordata; Mammalia; Chiroptera; Rhinolophidae.
GCUCCCUUCGGCUGCAUUAACAUUGGAAUGAUACAGAGAAUAUUAGCACGGCCACUGAGCAAGGAUGACCCACAAACUCGUGAAGUGUUUAAUUUAAAA